This 388-nucleotide ribosomal RNA is filed under the name uncultured bacterium. RNAcentral's name for it is "bacterial SSU rRNA". It matches the Rfam family "Bacterial small subunit ribosomal RNA", at positions 28 to 407 of the family's 1533-position model. The record is from RNAcentral.
AGCGAACGCUGGCGGCGUGCUUAACACAUGCAAGUCGAGUGCGUAGUCUCUUGUAGCAAUACAGGGGAUGGGCGCACGGCGCACGGGUGAGUAACACGUGGGUAACCUGCCCUUCGGUGGGGAAUAACCCGCGAAAGCGGGGCGUAAUUCCGCAUAACAUUCCGGGGACACAUGUUCUCGGACUCAAAGGAGUGAUUCGCCGGAGGAGGGGCCCGCGCCCGAUUAGCUUGUUGGUAGGGAACGGCCUACCAAGGCUUUGAUCGGUAGCCGGUCUGAGAGGAUGGCCGGCCACACUGGAACUGAGACACGGUCCAGACUCCUACGGGAGGCAGCAGUGGGGAAUCUUGCGCAAUGGGCGAAAGCCUGACGCAGCGACGCCGCGUGGGGA